CUUAUCAAGAGAGGUGGAGGGAAAGGCCCUAUGAAACCCAGCAACCAGUAUUAAUUACAUGGUGCUAAAUCCUACAGCAUUAGCUGAGAGAUAAGA
Molecule: non-coding RNA, 96 nt
Filed under: uncultured Tissierella sp.
Lineage: Bacteria; Bacillati; Bacillota; Tissierellia; Tissierellales; Tissierellaceae
Description: SAM riboswitch (S box leader)
Rfam family: SAM riboswitch aptamer (S box leader)
About the family: The SAM riboswitch is found upstream of a number of genes which code for proteins involved in methionine or cysteine biosynthesis in Gram-positive bacteria. The SAM riboswitch acts at the level of transcription termination control. The predicted structure consists of a complex stem-loop region followed by a single stem loop terminator region.
Source: RNAcentral